RNAcentral lists this long non-coding RNA (1801 nucleotides) under Nicotiana benthamiana. Its description in RNAcentral is "long non-coding RNA (NBEN_LNC006683)". Lineage: Eukaryota; Viridiplantae; Streptophyta; Magnoliopsida; Solanales; Solanaceae. The record is from RNAcentral.
UGUUGCAGCUACGUCCCAAGUCGGGGUAGGAGCAUAUACUCUCUCUCAAGCCCCAAAUUCAAAGGACAUGACUGGCGCUCAACCGGGUUUUCCCAGACAAGCGGACCUGGGUGCCUUUCCUAUCCCACGUGUUACGUCCUCUUUUUCAUUACUUAUUAACCAAGUGAAAUAGCCAUUCAUAAUUAAAAACACCCUUUAUUAAAAAACAUACUCAACAUACAUGUUUCUUAGCGUGGUUUAUAUCUUACAUCGCCCAAUAUACAAAAUACAUAUUUACAUAAGUUCACAACCCACACUUACCGUCUAUGGAGCCUCUAAGGAUACAAAAGGAUGAUACAAUACUUACCGGUAACAAGGCUCCGGCUAUACCUUACACCAAAAACCAAAACAAGACUCCAAAAUAAAAAGCAACAUAAUCCACGCAAAGCCCCGAGAGGAAAGGGGAUCACCAAUAAAUCUGACGGAAGUAAAGGGGAGCUACGGUCGGUGGAUUGGAUUACCUGCUAUGGAUCCACAUACAAUCAUAACAUAAAUGUAGCGUCCCCGGCAAAGGGACGUCACUACAUUUGAAUAUUACUAGUAUGUAUGAACAAACUUUGUCCCAAGUGAACUCAAACCAUACACAAAUAGGAAGCAGUAAUAGAAUCAACAAUCAUAUACACAAGAAAGGAACAAUCAAGUCAAACAAGUUUAUAAUCUCUCUUGUUUCCCCUUCAAUAUCCACAUCAAUAAUUUCACAAUUUUUCUCAUAUUUUCAUUUCAAUAGUGAUUCCGAUCACUUUUUACCUUUAUUACGCGGCCACCCUUAUCACCACAACCCACACCUUAUAACUUCGUUACGGCGCGCAACCUGAUCCAACCAUACAAUUACAAUUCACAAACAACACAACAAAAACAAUCCAUAGAGAACAACAAUAACACUUCUCAAGAAGUAACAACAAUAAUUCACAAAGAAUUUCCAUAACCAACAAUACCAUUUUCCAUCAUUUUCAGCAAUUCAUACGCAAUUUAAUUCACCACAAUAAUUACACACAACAAACCGGAUAUGUUAUUACCACAGUUGUUUCAAUUGCAUUAUUUAUGAUUUCCUUUCAUAGUUGUUUUCUCAGCUCUUACCACAUAACACUUUCACAAUCACGCAUUUAUUUUAUUGCCAACUACUUGCACCAUUAUAUCGGGAGACUUAACCAAAAACACUCAAAUCAAACCAAUCACAAGAAUUUCACAAAAAAUCCACAUAGAUAUCAAAUACCAAAUAUCUGUACACCAAAUAAGGUGAUUCUACAAAGGUCAAAGUUAGUCAUACAUACCUCGAUUACGCUUUCCAUAAGUUAUUACAAUAUUUCGGAAAUUCUAGCAAUUCCAAUCUACUAUGAGACAUAACAAAAUUGAAUCAAAUUAGAAAAGUAUUCAUGGUUUCAUCUCAUUUGGGCAUUUUAUCAAACACUAGUUGAGCAUCUUGAUUUCAAAUCUAUUUUACAAGGCUUCCUUCAUUUCCCAACCCAAUCCUUACCUCUUUAUGUUAAACAAUCUUCCCAAAAACUUGAUUUGUAAAUGGAUGAAUACAUAAUAGUAUUAUACCUAAGAAUCAUACAUCAAUACCCCCAUCUUAUACCCCAAACUCGAAAUUAAAGCCUAAUGUAUAGAAUAUUACCUCUUAGAUGAAGAACUUAUGAUGGGGCUCUUUGAUUCUUGAAGGUUGAUGCAAGGUUUGGAUUAUUAUGAAGCUAGCCCUCUCCUUUCUCUCUCUAUAUGCUCUCACCUCUCUCUAAAAUCAGUAAGUAAUGACCCCUAAAUGAAC